ACACAUGCAGUCGAGCGGUAACAGGUCCAGCUUGCUGGAUGCUGACGAGCGGCGGACGGGUGAGUAACGCAUAGGAAUCUACCCGGUAGUGGGGGAUAACCUGGGGAAACCCAGGCUAAUACCGCAUACGUCCUACGGGAGAAAGGGGGCUUAGGCUCCCGCUAUUGGAUGAGCCUAUGCCGGAUUAGCUGGUUGGUGAGGUAAUGGCUCACCAAGGCGACGAUCCGUAGCUGGUCUGAGAGGAUGAUCAGCCACAUCGGGACUGAGACACGGCCCGAACUCCUACGGGAGGCAGCAGUGGGGAAUAUUGGACAAUGGGGGCAACCCUGAUCCAGCCAUGCCGCGUGUGUGAAGAAGGCCCUCGGGUUGUAAAGCACUUUCAGCGAGGAAGAACGCCUGUCGGUUAAUACCCGGCAGGAAAGACAUCACUCGCAGAAGAAGCACCGGCUAACUCCGUGCCAGCAGCCGCGGUAAUACGGAGGGUGCAAGCGUUAAUCGGAAUUACUGGGCGUAAAGCGCGCGUAGGUGGCUUGAUAAGCCGGUUGUGAAAGCCCCGGGCUCAACCUGGGAACGGCAUCCGGAACUAUGAGGCUAGAGUGCAGGAGAGGAAGGUAGAAUUCCCGGUGUAGCGGUGAAAUGCGUAGAGAUCGGGAGGAAUACCAGUGGCGAAGGCGGCCUUCUGGACUGACACUGACACUGAGGUGCGAAAGCGUGGGUAGCAAACAGGAUUAGAUACCCUGGUAGUCCACGCCGUAAACGAUGUCGACCAGCCGUUGGGUGCCUAGCGCACUUUGUGGCGA
Molecule: ribosomal RNA, 800 nt
Filed under: Halomonas sp.
Lineage: Bacteria; Pseudomonadati; Pseudomonadota; Gammaproteobacteria; Oceanospirillales; Halomonadaceae
Description: bacterial SSU rRNA
Rfam family: Bacterial small subunit ribosomal RNA
Source: RNAcentral